RNAcentral lists this long non-coding RNA (421 nucleotides) under Olea europaea subsp. europaea. Lineage: Eukaryota; Viridiplantae; Streptophyta; Magnoliopsida; Lamiales; Oleaceae. The record is from RNAcentral.
CCCGCAUUUUAUGAUUCCCACAACUAUUCCUCCUACAAAAACUAUUAAAAAGUUACUAAUAAUCAAUCCCAAAUAGAAGCACCUUUUCCUCUCCUCAUAUUGAGAGACUGUCGUUUGAUAAUGAUCCAGCUAAUUGAUUUUAUUUCUUAAUUCACCUAUAUACCUAUUUUUUCUAGUUCUUCUUCCCUUUUUUUUUUUUUUAUUAUUAUAGUUGAGGGCUGGUAUGAUGUCCAUUGCUGAUGGUGGUUCUUUAAUCUAAGCUGCUGAUUUUUUGUUCAAUCUUUUUUUCUGAAUUAAUUUUUAUAGUGGUGGUGAAGCCACCAUCGCCGUUUCAUUUGUGAAAAUAGUGUUUGGCAACGGUGCUGUAGAUAAGGACGAUAGGGGUGGAGUGGUUGCUAACUCCUAACGGAAUAGGUGGUUG